Molecule: ribosomal RNA, 253 nt
Filed under: uncultured bacterium
Lineage: Bacteria
Description: partial 16S ribosomal RNA
Rfam family: Bacterial small subunit ribosomal RNA
Source: RNAcentral
UACGUAGGGUGCAAGCGUUGUCCGGAAUUAUUGGGCGUAAAGAGCUCGUAGGCGGCCUGUCACGUCGACUGUGAAAACCCGAGGCUCAACCUCGGGCCUGCAGUCGAUACGGGCAGGCUAGAGUUCGGUAGGGGAGACUGGAAUUCCUGGUGUAGCGGUGAAAUGCGCAGAUAUCAGGAGGAACACCGGUGGCGAAGGCGGGUCUCUGGGCAGUAACUGACGCUGAGGAGCGAAAGCGUGGGGAGCGAACAGG